AUUGAACGCUGGCGGCAUGCUUUACACAUGCAAGUCGAACGGCAGCGCGGGCUUCGGCCUGGCGGCGAGUGGCGAACGGGUGAGUAAUACAUCGGAACGUGCCCAGUAGUGGGGGAUAGCUCGGCGAAAGCCGGAUUAAUACCGCAUACGACCUGAGGGUGAAAGCGGGGGAUCUUCGGACCUCGCGCUAUUGGAGCGGCCGAUGGCAGACUAGCUAGUUGGUGGGGUAAAGGCCUACCAAGGCGACGAUCCGUAGCUGGUCUGAGAGGACGAGCAGCCACCUGGGGACUGAGACGCGCCCCAGACUCCUACGGGAGGCAGCAGUGGGGAAUGGUGGACAAUGGGGGAAAGCCUGAUCCAGCAAUGCCGCGUGUGUGAUGAAGGCCUUCGGUUUGUAAAGCACUUUUGGCGGGAACGAAAAGGACUGUGCCAAUACCACGGUUCGAUGACGGUACCCGCAGAAUAAGCACCGGCUAACUACGUG
RNAcentral lists this ribosomal RNA (484 nucleotides) under uncultured bacterium. RNAcentral's name for it is "partial 16S ribosomal RNA". It matches the Rfam family "Bacterial small subunit ribosomal RNA", at positions 29 to 507 of the family's 1533-position model. The record is from RNAcentral.